GUGAGGAAUAUUGGUCAAUGGGCGGGAGCCUGAACCAGCCAAGUCGCGUGAAGGAAGAAGGAUCUAUGGUUCGUAAACUUCUUUUGCAGGGGAAUAAAGUGCAGGACGUGUCCUGUUUUGUAUGUACCCUGAGAAUAAGGAUCGGCUAACUCCGUGCCAGCAGCCGCGGUAAUACGGAGGAUCCGAGCGUUAUCCGGAUUUAUUGGGUUUAAAGGGUGCGUAGGUGGUUUGAUAAGUCAGCGGUGAAAGUUUGCAGCUUAACUGUAAAAAUGCAGUUGAAACUGUCGGACUUGAGUGUAAAUGAGGUAGGCGGAAUGCGUGGUGUAGCGGUGAAAUGCAUAGAUAUCACGCAGAACUCCGAUUGCGAAGGCAGCUUACUAAGCUACAACUGACACUGAAGCACGAAAGCGUGGGGAUCAAACAGGAUUAGAUACCCGUGUAGUCC
Molecule: ribosomal RNA, 445 nt
Filed under: uncultured bacterium
Lineage: Bacteria
Description: partial 16S ribosomal RNA
Rfam family: Bacterial small subunit ribosomal RNA
Source: RNAcentral